Long non-coding RNA from Dendroctonus ponderosae (mountain pine beetle), 210 nucleotides. RefSeq lists it as uncharacterized. The transcript is spliced from 3 exons. NCBI's taxonomy places the organism in Eukaryota, Metazoa, Arthropoda, Insecta, Coleoptera, Curculionidae. The record is from RefSeq and is a predicted model, not a curated record.
GCAAAGACCUAAAUGAACGUUGAUUUUUACCAAUCAUGAGGAUCGCCAGUCAGCAAUGGCUCAAACGGGUUCGGUAGCGGCAAAGUUUUUGGACAAUAAGCCCCACACUGAGUCCAGUUCGAACAGAAUUAAAUGCCGACCACCGCCAGUCAUUGACUAUGCACUCGGCUAUUGUAUAGGGCAAUUGUAGCCUCUGGAGUAGUUCGAAGU